AAAUAGAAGUCAUUCCUACUUGUGACGCAGAUCGCACUGAAAGUCCUGCCUCUCCCAUCUCCUCAUUGGUUUAUAGAAGCAGGUACCCACGUGCCAUCUCCUCAUUGGUUAUACCCACGUGGGUGAUUGAAAGAUGAACUUUGUUGCCGGUUGUCGUGGUAAUACUAUGAAAGUUUAGAUGCGAUCACCAUAUAAGUUCAAAGAUGAAAAAGCCUGGAAGGAGGAGAGAUGACUAGAAACGAUUCGGUUGGCCGUUAUAUGUGUGGAUUAAUUGUCGGAGUAGAGGAGUUUGUGCAUUUCAGGCAUAGUACUAUGAAGGCCCAACUGAUCUCGACAACAGAAAUUCACAAUUCAGGGCAAUCACAUGCGGGGGAAGGAUGGCCAGCCACACAGGAGGCUGCUUUUCACUAAGGACGAGAAGGAGGCCGUGCUGACCGAAAUGCAUGCUUGCCAUUUUGGAGUGAAGCGCAUGAUUGCCAAAAUCAACCUACGCUUCUUCUGAUGGGGAAUUGUCAACGAGAUGGACAGCUGGGCAAGUGAAAUUACCUUUUGUUUAUCAGUCACAUUCUAUUAUAUCUGAAAUUAUUAUGAUUUCAAUUACUGUCAUAAUCAAAGAACACACAAUGUUUAAAUUUGUCACUUUGUUCUUAAAACACUUUGUGUCUAGCCUACCAGAAGUUUGAGAGGGUGAAGACUGUGGCGCUGGAGUUGAAACCCAUCAGUUGUUUCACCAUGGCACAUGAUCAGGCGUAGACAACAUCGGACACUUCACGAAAUCUAGGAAUGGCAACAGCUGGUGUCUGACGACGACCGAUCUCUUUACCAAGUGGAUGGAGGCAAUACCCAUUAAGGAUGAGACUGGCGAGGCCACCUCCAAGGUGACGAUGGACAUCUUCAACACCCACGGUUUUAGGCUGUGUUCAUCUUGAGUGACCGAGGUCGUGAACUCUGGAACAAGGCACAGCUGUUAUAGGUUAUAUUCUGUCACCCAACGGUUUGUUUUGUUUCUCUUUUUAAAUUUGUUUUUGUUUUUCUAUGGUACAUAGUCAGACAUACACUACAUGACCAAAAGUAUGUGGACACCUGCUUGUCGAACAUCUCAUUCCAAAAUCAUAUGCAUUAAUAUGAAGUUUGUCCCCCCUUUGCUGCUAUAACAGCCUCCACUCUUAUGGGAAGACUUUCCACUAGAUGUUGGAACAUUGCUGUGGGGACUUAAUUCCAUUCAGCCACCUGAGAAUUAGUGAGGUCUGGCACUGAUGUUGGCCGAUUAGGCCUGGCUCGCAGUCGGCGUUCCAUUUCAAAUCAAAGGUGUUCGAUGGGGUUGAAGUCAGCGCUCUGUGCAGGCCAGUCAAGUUCUUCCACACUGAUCUUGACAAACCAUUUCUGGAUGGACCUCGCUUUAUGCUCGGGGGCAUUGUCAUGCUGAAACAGGAAAGGGACUUCCCCAAACUGUUGCCAAAUGGUUGGAAGCACAGAAUCGUCUAGCAUGUCAUUGUAUGCUGUAGCGUUAAGAAGCCGGUUGGAUGUACUGCCAAAUUCUCUCAAUGUACAUUCAAUUCUUUGGCAACAGCUCUGGUGGACAUUCCUGCAGUCAGCAUUCCAAUUGCACGCUCCCUCAACUUGAGACAUCUGUGGCAUUGUGUUGUGUGACAAAACUGCACAUUUUAGAAUGGCCUUUUAUUGUCCCCAGCACAAGGUGCAUCUGUGUAAUGAUAAUUCCAGGGUUUUUCUUUAUUUUUACUAUUUCCUACAUUGUAGAAUAAUAGUGAAGACAUCAAAACUAUGAAAUAACACAUGGAAUCGUGUAGUAACCAAAAAAGUGUUAUUCAAAGUAGCCACCCUUUGCCUUGAUGACAGCUUUAAACACUCUUGGCAUUCCCUCAACCAGCUUCAUGAGGUAGUCACCUGGAAUUCCUUUCAAUUAAUAGGUGUGCCUUGUUAAAAUAUAAUUUGUGGUAUUUCUUUCCUUCUUGAGCCAAUCAUUUGUGUUGUGACAUGGUAGGGGUGGUUAUACAGAAGAAGCCCUAAUUGGUAAAAAACCAAGUCCAUAUUAUGGCAAGAACAGCUCAAAUAAGCAAAGAGAAAUGAUAGUUCAUCAUUACUUUAAGGUCAGUCAAUGCGGAAAAAUUUAAGAACUUUGAAAGUUUUUUCAAGUGCAGUCGCAAAAAUCAUCAAGCGCUAUGAUGAAACUGGCUCUCAUGAGGACCGCCACAGGAAUGGAAGAACCAGAAUUACCUCUGCUGCAGAGGUUAAGUUCAUUGGAGUUACCAACCUCAGAAAUUGCAGCCCAAAUAAAUGCUUCAAGUAACAGACACAUCAACAUCAACUGUUCAGAGGAGACUGUGUGAAUCAGGCCUUCAUGGUAGAAUUGCUGUAAAUAAACCACCACUAAAGGACACCAAUAAUAAGAAGAGACUUGCUUGGGCCAAGAAACACGAGCAAAGGACAUUAGACCAGUGGAAAUAUGUUUUUUUUUGGUUCCAACCGCCAUGUCUUUGUGAGAUGCAGAGUAGGUGAAUGGAUGAUCUCAGAAUGUGUGGUUCCCACCGUGAAGCAUGGAGGAGGUGGUGUGAUGGUGCUUUGCUGGUGACACUGUCAGUGAUUUAUUUAGAAUUCAAUGCACACUUAACCAGCAUGGCUCCCACAGCAUUCUGCAGUGAUACGCCAUCCCAUGUGGUUUGGUUUUCAACAGGACAAUGACCCAACACACCUCCAGGCUGUGUAAGGGCUAUUUGACCAAGAAGGAGAGUGAUGGAGUGCUGCAUCAGAUGACCUGGCCUCCACAAUCACACGACCUCAUCCCAAUUUAGAUGGUUUGGGAUGAGUUGGACCGCAGAGUGAAGUAAAAGCAGCCAACAAGUGCUCAGCAUAUGUGGGAACUCCUUCGAGACUGUAGGAAAAGUGUUCCAGGUGAAGAUGUUUGAGAGAAUGCCAAGAGUGUGCGAAGCUGUCAUCAAGGAAAAGGGUGGCUACUUCGAAGAAUCUCAAAUCCAAAAUAAAUCUUGCUGUGGUUAACACUUUUUUGGUUACUACAUGAUUCCAUAUGUUAUUCCCUCGUUUUGAUGUCUUUACUGUUCUUCUGCAAUGUAGAAAAUAGUCAAAAGAAAGAAAAAGCAGGUGUGUCCAAACUUUUGACUGGAACUGUAUGUACUUUUUUUGUUGCCUGUUUUGCAUGUUAUUUCGGCAUUCAUUUGUAUCACAAAUCAGUGUGCAAACAAUGUAAAAAAAAGUUUAAAAGGUAAUAAAGCCACAAAAACAUGGUCGUUUUUU
Molecule: long non-coding RNA, 3270 nt
Organism: Salvelinus fontinalis (brook trout)
Lineage: Eukaryota; Metazoa; Chordata; Actinopteri; Salmoniformes; Salmonidae
Exons: 5
Source: RefSeq, a predicted model, not a curated record